This 450-nucleotide ribosomal RNA is filed under the name uncultured bacterium. Its description in RNAcentral is "partial 16S ribosomal RNA". It matches the Rfam family "Bacterial small subunit ribosomal RNA", at positions 354 to 796 of the family's 1533-position model. The record is from RNAcentral.
GUAGGGAAUCUUCGGCAAUGGACGAAAGUCUGACCGAGCAACGCCGCGUGAGUGAAGAAGGUUUUCGGAUCGUAAAACUCUGUUGGUAGAGAAGAACGUUGGUGAGAGUGGAAAGCUCAUCAAGUGACGGUAACUACCCAGAAAGGGACGGCUAACUACGUGCCAGCAGCCGCGGUAAUACGUAGGUCCCGAGCGUUGUCCGGAUUUAUUGGGCGUAAAGCGAGCGCAGGUGGUUUAUUAAGUCUGGUGUAAAAGGCAGUGGCUCAACCAUUGUAUGCAUUGGAAACUGGUAGACUUGAGUGCAGGAGAGGAGAGUGGAAUUCCAUGUGUAGCGGUGAAAUGCGUAGAUAUAUGGAGGGACACCGGUGGCGAAAGCGGCUCUCUGGCCCGUAACUGACACUGAGGCUCGAAAGCGUGGGGAGCAAACAGGAUUAGAAACCCGAGUAGUCC